GAUUAUAAUGAUGUAAUUAUUCCUUUAUUUCUGUUUAGCAACUACUGCAGAGCUCUCCUUGGAGUGCACACAUGCACACACACACACUCUUAGUUUUCUGUGAUUUCUCAGCACGGUGGCUUCCUCUAGUUUCUCGACUCUAGAACAAGUGACUCCAGCUACUGCUCUACAUGGUGUGCCUCAGAAUCAUCUGCAUUUUUUUACCAGUAAAAAAUACAAGUUACAUUUUCUCAUAAUUCCCAACAGAAAGCUUUAUAAAUAAGGAGGAUGGCGAACUGGAAGUAACUGAUGCAAUGACCUAAACUCAGCGUGGGGAGCAGGUAGCUGUUCAUGAGAUGUGCUGCCAAAACACUCCUGUGCCAACAAGCAUACGCAUGGCUGGAGACAGAGAGAGACCCAACGCACAUCUGCAAACCUGCUCUGGAUCCAGAGAGCCAGGACGGCUUUUUUUGCGCCGCUGCCACUUCAUCUUGUUUGUUCUUUAAGAGCCAAGCGACCGACCACCUCCAGCCUGGGCUGUCCCAGAAUUACCAAUGCCUUAACAACAUUCAGGACAGCAACUGUUUUAGGUGAUACAUCCCUGUGUGAAGAACUGCUAAGCACAAAGCUGCUUCGUGCUUUCAAGACCUAAAAAUAGAGAGUGAUGCGCAGAGACAAACAGUGCAAGUUUACCAAGUUCUGCUGUCCUAGAAACACAAACAGCUGAAAAUUUCCUGACCUACCCAGAAGACCAGGGACCUCAUUAAGCCUACCUGAGCAGUGACAUCUCCGCAGGGCUCCGGAUCAAUGGACGCUGCCAUCUGAAGAUUCUAAUCACAUUAACACCGCAGCAGAAUAAAACCCACCUGAUUCUCCCUACACUUCUGCCAAUUGCUGCAACUACUCCUUGGAAGGCUUAUUUAUACGUGUGGGUAAAAAUCAAUCUACCACAGCCACCGUCCUCCCAUCCCUCCUCACGAGAGCCUGAAUUCCCUCUCCAGGAAAUGCAGUGUGAUCCCCCGGAGCUGCCCUCCUGAUGACUGCGAUUAGCCAUAUUCAGACAAUCCCGGGGAGCAGGGGACAAAAAUAAUCAAUAAAACGCAGCUCCGUGGAAGGACCGGCACCACCCGGGGAAGAGGAGCAGAACAAUCAACGCCGGAUCUCUGCAAGGGGUCUCUGCAGCAGAGGAGCUGGUAACUGGUGGAGGUGAGAAGGGUUACACUCACACAGAGCACUCAGCGGCCGUACGAGGCUGCUGGGUUCUGGUGGAGACAAACAAGGAGCAAUGGUCAGGCUGAAGGGCAGCUGCUCUCAAUCAUCACCCGUGGAACACGAGAGAACAGCAUUAAGUUGCCCACGGGGACACCCCUGUAGCCCUGCACUGCUGAAAAACAUUUAACUGGGUUUGUUGGUUUUUUUUCAACAAAUGAAAAAUAGUUUUUCAGCUCUACCCACGCAUCCCUGCAUCUCACCUGGCUUCCAAAGAGUCAGUCACAAGCUAAUCAAUAGUAAUUACCUAUCAUCCGGGCUUGUCCUCCUCAGUGUGCUCUUACCUGACGCUGCUCCCUGAUUAUCUGGCACAUGGAGGGUAGGAACUUUCAGGAACAAUAUUUAUUGAUGAAAGCUGUUAUUUCUUGAGCAAUAACUCACUCUUCCAUCACUAAAGAGUAAUUGGACUUUCCGCUGCAGCUGAAGAUCCCUGGCACCCUGUGAAGACUGUCUACUCAGUGAGAUAUUUUUUCUGUCAAGAAACACUUACUAGUUUUUAGAUCUUUACCCCAGCAAGUUUGGACUGAGCUAAAUUACUAAAAAGAAAAAAAAACAAACCAAACCAACAAUUUUCAACUUAAGCCCUGUGUUUGGUGCAAAAUCUCGUAAGAAUUAAGGAAUCCAUCUAAGGAUUCCUAAAGUAACCCAUGAGGAUUCAUAAGCACAGUGUAACUCUUAAGCAAUCCUUAAUGACUGCUUCAGGGGCAUUUGCACCUGUUCCUGUGUCAUUAAUGAAAUUAUUCUCAGCAUCCAACAUUAUCUCAAGAAAAUUUUAGAAUAACUGUAAUUUUGCAGUGAUUUAAAUGAUAAUCCCCCAAAAAUGCCGUAUCUAUUUCUGCAGGAUAAGUUAAUGAUACUUACAGGAUCAAAUGUAUCAAGUUCAUGGAGUAACUGUCACGUAUAGCAUUGAAAUGUAUGUAUCAGGAGCUUGAAAUUAUCCUAAGCAAAUAAAGCCAAAAAGUAAUAAAGUAAAAGAUUUAGCAGAGAA
This is a long non-coding RNA of Calidris pugnax (ruff), 2236 nucleotides long. RefSeq lists it as uncharacterized. The transcript is spliced from 4 exons. Lineage: Eukaryota; Metazoa; Chordata; Aves; Charadriiformes; Scolopacidae. The record is from RefSeq and is a predicted model, not a curated record.